RNAcentral lists this ribosomal RNA (1537 nucleotides) under Escherichia coli. Its description in RNAcentral is "bacterial SSU rRNA". It matches the Rfam family "Bacterial small subunit ribosomal RNA". Lineage: Bacteria; Pseudomonadati; Pseudomonadota; Gammaproteobacteria; Enterobacterales; Enterobacteriaceae. The record is from RNAcentral.
UUGAAGAGUUUGAUCAUGGCUCAGAUUGAACGCUGGCGGCAGGCCUAACACAUGCAAGUCGAACGGUAACAGAAAGCAGCUUGCUGCUUUGCUGACGAGUGGCGGACGGGUGAGUAAUGUCUGGGAAACUGCCUGAUGGAGGGGGAUAACUACUGGAAACGGUAGCUAAUACCGCAUAACGUCGCAAGACCAAAGAGGGGGACCUUCGGGCCUCUUGCCAUCGGAUGUGCCCAGAUGGGAUUAGCUUGUUGGUGGGGUAACGGCUCACCAAGGCGACGAUCCCUAGCUGGUCUGAGAGGAUGACCAGCCACACUGGAACUGAGACACGGUCCAGACUCCUACGGGAGGCAGCAGUGGGGAAUAUUGCACAAUGGGCGCAAGCCUGAUGCAGCCAUGCCGCGUGUAUGAAGAAGGCCUUCGGGUUGUAAAGUACUUUCAGCGGGGAGGAAGGGAGUAAAGUUAAUACCUUUGCUCAUUGACGUUACCCGCAGAAGAAGCACCGGCUAACUCCGUGCCAGCAGCCGCGGUAAUACGGAGGGUGCAAGCGUUAAUCGGAAUUACUGGGCGUAAAGCGCACGCAGGCGGUUUGUUAAGUCAGAUGUGAAAUCCCCGGGCUCAACCUGGGAACUGCAUCUGAUACUGGCAAGCUUGAGUCUCGUAGAGGGGGGUAGAAUUCCAGGUGUAGCGGUGAAAUGCGUAGAGAUCUGGAGGAAUACCGGUGGCGAAGGCGGCCCCUGGACGAAGACUGACGCUCAGGUGCGAAAGCGUGGGGAGCAAACAGGAUUAGAUACCCUGGUAGUCCACGCCGUAAACGAUGUCGACUUGGAGGUUGUGCCCUUGAGGCGUGGCUUCCGGAGCUAACGCGUUAAGUCGACCGCCUGGGGAGUACGGCCGCAAGGUUAAAACUCAAAUGAAUUGACGGGGGCCCGCACAAGCGGUGGAGCAUGUGGUUUAAUUCGAUGCAACGCGAAGAACCUUACCUGGUCUUGACAUCCACGGAAGUUUUCAGAGAUGAGAAUGUGCCUUCGGGAACCGUGAGACAGGUGCUGCAUGGCUGUCGUCAGCUCGUGUUGUGAAAUGUUGGGUUAAGUCCCGCAACGAGCGCAACCCUUAUCCUUUGUUGCCAGCGGUCCGGCCGGGAACUCAAAGGAGACUGCCAGUGAUAAACUGGAGGAAGGUGGGGAUGACGUCAAGUCAUCAUGGCCCUUACGACCAGGGCUACACACGUGCUACAAUGGCGCAUACAAAGAGAAGCGACCUCGCGAGAGCAAGCGGACCUCAUAAAGUGCGUCGUAGUCCGGAUUGGAGUCUGCAACUCGACUCCAUGAAGUCGGAAUCGCUAGUAAUCGUGGAUCAGAAUGCCACGGUGAAUACGUUCCCGGGCCUUGUACACACCGCCCGUCACACCAUGGGAGUGGGUUGCAAAAGAAGUAGGUAGCUUAACCUUCGGGAGGGCGCUUACCACUUUGUGAUUCAUGACUGGGGUGAAGUCGUAACAAGGUAACCGUAGGGGAACCUGCGGUUGGAUCACCUCCUU